This is a long non-coding RNA of Cebus imitator (Panamanian white-faced capuchin), 10348 nucleotides long. RefSeq lists it as uncharacterized. The transcript has 7 exons. Lineage: Eukaryota; Metazoa; Chordata; Mammalia; Primates; Cebidae. The record is from RefSeq and is a predicted model, not a curated record.
AUGCUAUUCACUUAAUGCCCCUUGUUUUGGACUUAAUGUGCAUUAAUGCAAUUGUCUGCCUCUUCUUUUAGACUAAGACUUGAUUUCCACAUACUUCUCUUCCAUCAGGGGCAUGUUAACUAUGAAUGGACCCUUUUCUUUUGAAUAUUAAUGUCAUAAUUCUAUUUGUGGACCUGUGUAGUAGAAAAAGACCCUGUGUUCCUACCACUAUGCUUUGGAUUGCUACUGAGGAGUGCUAACUACUCAUAAUCUCAGCUCUUGGACAAUUAACAUGCAAUAAUAACAAUUAUCAAGGGUACUGAUUAUUAGAUAAGAUUCCUUGAUCUUUUUUGCAUACAUCGGGGAUACUGACCCACUAAGGUCCCUUGUACUAUUAAUGUGCAUAUUUGUAAUUACACAUGUUUCCUUCUGUUAGAGUGGGAUAUUAUGCCCUUGUACCCUCUUUGUAUUACUGCAGUGGCUGCUGACUACUCAAAACUUCUCUUGGGACUGUUAAUAGGUACAAUGGCAGUUAUCAAUGGUUUUUCCCCUCCCUGACCUUGUUAAGCAAGCACCCCACCCCACCCUACGCUCAGUUCCCGUGGCAUAAUAAAGUAUAAACAUUGCAGUAUUCCAUGCACUUGUCCCUCAAACAGUGGUCCAUACUCCCGCCCCAUUUGCAUUGCUCCAGUGUGUAAAAUCACAGGUAGCCAUGGUGUCACGCUUUACAUCCUCGCCCUGCCCCUUGUGUGCCCUUGGCCCCUUUUUACAGACUAUUGUUCACAAUCUCAGGUGUCCAUAUAUUUAGCUAUUAGAUAAGAUUAUGUUCUCUCCCUUCUCCGUUCCCCCUACCGUGCCCCUUUUGCCUCUUUGCUGGGUAAUGUUGACUGGACAAGGCCUUUUCUCUUAGACUUAAAAAAUUAUCAGUGGCACUUUCCUUGGUCCCACCCAUUAUACAUGAACUCCUCUACUUUCUUUCGCAUUGCUUCUGAGUAGCGCUGACUACCCAAAGCCCCUUCUGGGUUAUUAAUGAACACAGUACCGAUUGUCCCAUUUUUCAGCACAUCAGUCCAAGAGCUCCCUACCACUUUGGUGUGUUUGUGCAGUGUUGACUAUGAAAAGCAGGCCUGAACUAAGUGGAUAAGCCUUCACUCUUUUUCUUUCAUUUAUUAAUGAUCCCAGUUUCAAUUAUUAUCAGAUUCUGAGGACAAGAACCAUUCUUGCCCACCUCUGUUACUGCUUUACUGUGCAGAGUACUCAAAGCAAGUCAGACCCAGGAAGCUGGAUUGCCAUCUUCUAUUGUGUUUCCAGUGCACACUAUCAAAUUGCCUCCCCAAGAAGGAAGGUUGGCACUUCCUCUGCAUUCUUCUUUCCAGAGAAGAUUGCCUGGUUAAAGAAUCUCUUGUCAUCUCUUUUGUAUAUUGUUAUUGUAAAGUGCCAAAUGCCAGGAUACAGCCAGAAAAAUUGCUGUUGUUAUUAUUUAAAAAAAAAAAAUUAAGAAAGACAUCUGGAUUGUAAUGUGGACUCAAUAACCUGGUCAUUAUUUUUUGAAGCCAAAAAUCCAUUUAUACUAUGUACUGGAUGACCAGUGUCAUUUUAACUGAGGGUGGUGAGUCUGUGGAUAGACCACUGUGACUCUUGCUAUUUUAAUAUUAUCAAAGGCUUUCUAGAGUGAAACUCUUAAGACCAGCAUCUUUGUGUGGGCUUUACCAGCACUUUUAGAAGAACUACCUACAUUUUAUAAUCCUUUAAUUUCUUCACCUGGAGCACCUCCCCCUACUUAUUUAGAGAAGAUUGAAGUAAAACGAUUAAAUAAGAAAACGUAUGCAGAGGUGCUUUUAGAAGAUGCCACCUUUUUGAUUAAUCUAUUAUGUAAAAUGAAGAAUCUAAUUAUACUAAAAAUUUGAAGUAGUUUGAAGUAUCACACUGAAGGUGAGGACUUAAAAAUGAUGGAACCAGUUCCCUAUUUCAUAAGAAAAAUAAGCCAAAAUUAAAUACUAUAUUGUAUAUAAAUUUCAAAAGUGAGACAGCUGUCUAAUAGAAAUGAAUAAUAUCCCAGCCACUAGUGUACAGGGUGUUUUGUGGCAAAGGAGUAUGUAAUAUGGAACUGCUCAAGCAAAUUAGUCCUCACAACAGUAGUUCUUUGUAAUAACUGAAAAAGAAUACUGUUUCUCUGAGAAGGAUGUCAAAAGAUCGACCCAGCUCAGGGAGCAGUUUGUUCUACUAGCUCCUCGGACAGCUGUAAGAAGAGUCUCUGGCUCUUUAGAAUACUGAUUCCAUUGAAGAUACCACGUUGCAUGUGUCCUUAGUAGUCAUGCCUCCUUUGGCUCUCUUGGACAUUCUGAGUAUGUGAGACCUGAAGACUGCAAACAUCUUUAAGAGGCUCCAAAUUCAGCAGAUCUUUCCCUUUGAGAAUCUGGCCAAGCUCCAGCUAAUCUACCUGGAUGGGUUGCCGACCACCUGGAGAAAAAGGUGGAGAUGGGGCAUGAGGAUCCUCCAGGGGAAAAGCUCACUACCACUGGGCAACAAUCCUAGGUCAUGAGGUUCUGUCAAGAUACUUUCCUGGUCCCAGAUAGGAAGAUAAAGUCUCAAAGACAACCACCACAUGUCAAGGAGAACAUGGACAACUGUCACAUCAGUGACACUGAUCACAUGGGCAAAUCAUUCUGUUCCAUCUGGUCUCCAAAGUCUCUCUUAAAGCCUUACAGAAAAACUUUGCUGGUCAUUUACAUACUUCAAGAUGGCCUGGGAUGCCAUGGGUUACAACACAACAAGUGAGAGCUCUUCAUCGUUCCUAUUUGCCAGAUCAUUAUCCUUCCUACAAGCAGUGCAGAGAGCUGGGUCUUCAACAGGUCCAAGAAACUUGAACAUGCUGAAAGAAGUCAGCCUUCUUACCUGAAGAUCAACACACAUGCCUGGCACUCGAGCACUUAAGGAUAGUGGAAUGAAGUAAGUUUUUGGUGUUGCAUUCCUGUGGGGAUCACUUCAGAACUGUUAAAACAGCUGUUUUUUGGGAGCCAGUGUUGGAUAGGUGUCUUGUCUCUUCUGCUACUUACUACCUCUGAAUGUCUGCAUUUGCUUAUCUCUUGCUCUCGUGUGUAUUUCUUUGUCUUUGUUCUUUCUUUUCUUUGUUCUUUGUCUCUCUAUAUUUCUUCCUUGUCUUUGUUGUUUGUUCUCUAUCUAAAGUGUGUUUUACCCAUUUCCGUGUUUUUUCUUGCUAAUUUCUUUCAUGUGUGCCUUUGCCUCAUUUUCUCUUGUUCACAAAGAGUGGUCUGUGCCUUGUCUUAGACAUAAGUCUCAUUUUUCAUUUUGUUGCUGUUUCUCUUUGUUUUCCUAGAUGUGGCUGUUCUUUCACGCUUUAUUUCAUGUCUCCUUUUGGGUCACGUGCUUUGUGCUUUUUGUCCGUUUCUUGUUCUGCCAACCUCUCCUUUCUCUGCCUACCUCUUUUUUCUCUUCAUGAACUGUGACUAUUUGUUAUCCCUUCCCCUUAUUUGUUGUAAAUUUCACCUUUUUCUGAGUCUGGCCUCCUUUCUGCUGUUUCUACUUUUUAAUCUCACAUUUCUCAUUUCUGCCUCUCUUGGGCUAUUUUCUCUCUUUCCUCCCCUGUGUUCCUCUGUGUCUCUUGCUGUUUGUGAUUUUCUAUUUCAGUAUUAAUCUCUGUUUGUUUGUGUUUCUUCUCUGCUUCUUCCCUUUCUACUCACCUUUGAGUAUUUCAGCCUCAUCAUGAGUCUGUCUCCCUCUCUUUGAUUUCAUGUAUUCUUUUCUCCUUAAAUAUUUCUUUGCAUAUGUGGGCAUGUGUACAUGUGUGUGUGUCAUGUGUGGCAGAGGGGCUUCCUAACCCCUGCCUGAUAGGUACAGAACAUUGGCUAUCAGAAGUAAGCAUUAUGGAGUGGUUCCAUAUGCCAGGCUGCCGUGUGAGAUGAUCCAAGACCAAAACAAGGCCAUAGAAUCCAGACUGCAGUAAAACCCAAUACUCAAGUAGCACGGAAGGUGAAAGGCUCAUAUGGAUAGAAGGCCCAAAGUAGAAGACAGAUGGUUUGAAACUUGAGACUCAGACUAAGAUGGAAAGCCCAUGUUCCAAGAUAUAUAGAAGCCUCUGUCCUGAAACCAACAAAAGCCUCAAGAACCAAGGAAACAGAGGGUGGCCUGGAUCGGACAGAAGGCCUGAGUUGGAUGGAAUGUUCAAGUCUUGAGUUAGAAGGCUUAAGACCUGGAAUAUGACACGUACGUGGAAGGCCUGAGACUGAGACUUGUGACACAAGGCCAAAGACCUAAGAUUAGCCCCAGGUUGUAGGUGGAAGACCUACAACCCAAGGAUGGAAGGUUCCUGACACAAAGCCUACCUAGAUGGAUAGAGGACCCAAGUGAAACAGAUAUCUCAAGACUAAAGGCCAGAAUCUGGAGGCCCAUGACCCAGAACCAAGGAAGAAUAGAAGCUUGAAGACCCGGGGAAAUCCCAAGAUGAGAACCCUAAACACCACCUCUUUUCUAUUGUUAUACUUCUUACUCUUAGAUAUUUCCAGUUCUCCUGUUUCUCUUUAAGCUUGAUUCUUUUGAGAUGUUCUUUUUGAUAUUGCCAGUUACCUUAAAGGAACAUAUCUUUAGGUUGACAGUAUUAUGCUUGGGCCAGUCUGGAGCCAGUUUUAAAUCACAGUUUUUACCUCUUUGUUAGGCUUUAGUGUUUUGUAAACUUCUGUUUCUAUUCACAUCUACUCCACUUGAGAGAGAUACCAAAAUCGAGUCAGUAUCUAAUCUGGCUUUUGUUAUUCCCCUCAGGAGCAAGCAUUCAUAUAGGUGAUAUUAUAUUUCAGUCUUCCCUUUUAAUCUCAGAAGCCCUAGACUGAUGAGAAGAUAAAAUGGUCAGGUUGUUGGGGAAAAAAUGUGCCAGGCUCUCUAGAGAAAAAUGUGAAGAGAUGCUCCAGGUCAAUGAGAAGAAUUAGACAAGAAAUACACAGAUGUGCCAGACUUCUGAGAAGCACGUGCCAGCAACCGCUUCCUUCUUUGAGCUUAGGUGAGCAGGAUUCCUGGGAUUUGGGAUUUCUAGUGAUGGUUAUGGAAAGGGUGACUGGACUUGGGACAAAGUGAGGUCCCAAAGAGACAGCCUGAACUCCCUGCUCAUAGUAGUGGCCAAAUAAUUUGGUGGACUGUGCCAACCCUACUCCUGGGUUUAAUACCCAUCUCUAGACUUAAAGAUGAGAAAACCUCGGACUAUUUAGCACAUUUAAUACUUUCCUUGAUUUUUUUCUUCCCAUUUAUGUGGGAAGUUGAUUUAAAUGACUGAUAAUGUAUAUGAAAGCACUGUAAAACAGAAAAACCAAGGCGUGCUCCUUAAUAGUGUAUUGGGAAUCAUGCACAGUUAACAUUUGAAAGUGCAGUGUAAGUUGUGAAGCAUUAUGUAAAUCAGGGGUCCUCAGUUUUUCUGUAAGUGGUCAAAUCAUAAAUACUUUAGACUGUGGGCCAUAUGGUUUCUGUUACAUAUUCUUUUUUUAAACAACCUUUUCAUAAGGUCAAAAUCAUUCUUAGCUUUUGAGCCAGUUGGAUUUGGCCUGCUGUUCAUAGCUUACCCACCCCCUGAUGUAUUAUUUGUUUUAUUCAGAGAAAAUGUCUGACUACUACUGAUUUCCUUUUCUAUCUCUGUCCUGUGCUAGGCACUAAAAAUGCAGUGAUUUGUGAUCACAUCCAGGUGACCUGAAGAAAAAUAGUGAAUGUGCUUUGUAAACUAUAAAGCACUUGUAUUCUAUUGUGAUAAUCAUUGUGGACACAAAGAAAGGAGCAAGCAAGAAAAAGUGCUCUUUCAAAAAGAUCUAGUGCUAUGCAGAUGCUAGAAUUAAGUGUUUGAUAAAUGAAUAAAUUGUAUGUAUUUUGAGGCUAAUUUGUUUCUGCUGCUCUGGUGAUUUUGACUAAAAAUGCAGUAUUCCAGGUAUCAGAAAUGAAAACACAUGGAAGCUGCUUUUAAACUUUAAAAUAUACUGAAAACAAGGGACUAAGCUUAUUGUGGUCACCUAUAGUGUGCCAGAUACCAUUCUGGGCACUAGAGAUCACAAAGGGGAAAAAAUGUUCUCAUAGAGCAAAAAGUUUCAGAAAGGUGCAUAUUAAAGUCCUUUGUAAACUAAAGCACAAUACAAAUGUCAGUAGGCUACAUAUUUAUGAAUGAAUGAAUAUUAACUGCCUCUUACAUACCAGCUAUUGUUUUUGGUUCUGUGAAAUACAAGAUUAAUUCUCCUAUGUAAUAGGAGGAAAAUUUAUCCUCUAUACUAUUUCGAUGUAAGGAAUGAGAUACUGCUUAAAGAGUGAAGACUUUAGUGGUGAGGUCAAGUUAAAUUAUUACUGGUAUAUUUUCCCAGGUCACCUGGGAGGAGAUAGAAUGAGGAAAUGAAGCAAUAGAUAUGAGAUCCAGACCAAAAGUCUCCUGUAAGAUAGGUAUUGUCUCUACAAAAUUCUCAUUGUAUACUUAAACCACAAUGAGAAGGGUUCUAUAAGUAGUUAUACAAAUUAAGGGUUUAAAUACCUGUUAAACGGAUCAAUUUUGAUUGCCUACUAUGUUAACUCACUGUUAAAGGCACUGAAAAUUUAUCAUAUUUCAUUUACCCACAGCCAAAAAUAAGGCAAUACCUAUGUUAGCAUUUUGUGAACUCUAAGACACCAUAUAAAUGUAACUAUUGAUUUUCUCACUUGGUGCUGAGUACCAGGUUUAUAAAAUUGUAUGAUAGUUGUUACAUUGUGCAAAUAAAGCAGGAAAUUUUGAGUAACAAUGAUUAACUUUUAAAUAUUCAUAUGCAAGGGGUUGUCUGAAGUAUAGUAGUUAACGAUUGUGUGCCAAUCUCAUUGCUAGGCAAUGGGGAAUGCAAAGAUAAACCAUCUUUAUUGUGUUCUGGGUAGCAGAAGAAAAUAUGUGUAAAAUCAAUUUAUAAUUUCUAAACUGCCACCCAUAUAUAAGCAAUAUCUGCUGAAUGAUCAUUGACCAGUCUUAUCCUUAGAGAUAAGAACUGGGGCACAAAAAUUUAUUAUCAUUAUUGAACGUACAACAGAAACCUACUUGUAAAUUUACAAAGUCUACAGUUCUAUACAGAUAGGAAUGAACUACUGGUUUACUGAAUGGUGAUUACUUUCUGUGGGGCUCAGAACUACAUGUCCUAGGAUAUAAAAAUGAUAUUAUCAUUAUGGAGUGCUCACAGAAGGAAAUGAAGUAAUUAAUAGGUAUGAGAUCCAGACCAAAAGUCACUUAACAGGCUUAUUUAGUGAUGAAAACAUGGGAUAAAUGGACUUGUAUAAGGCAGCGUACUAAGCUAAGUAGAGAAAUAAAGUCCUGUCCAGAAGGAUACAUGCUCCCUGGCCUGACUGAAGAGAUGGAAAUUUUUUGCAAAAAGCAAGAUAUUGUAGUCUUCCAUCCAGUUUCUUAAAUGCUGGUGAUAGAAAUGAAUUAGACCCACCUUGGCCUGUCUUACAGGCAGUAAAGGAGUAAAAAUAAAGGCCUCAGGUUUGCUUUUUUAUUUAUUUGAUUAAAAAAAGCACCUUUUAUGUGGAAUAUGCCAUUCUGGGUCCUGAGGAUAAGAGAUCACUGACAGCUGAAGAUAGAAAAUAUAUCUUUGGUUUGAUUGUGUAAAUAAUAUUUCAGUGCCUAGUCUCUGCAAGGCAUUAUGCUUGGUAAAUUAGUAAAUUAAAUAGGUCUGGCCCGGAAGACCCAUUCAAUUGCCUUUGAGAUUAAAAAAAAAAAAGAAAAAGGCAAAUUUCUUUCAAAAUAAAGAGACAUUUUUCUUAGUUUCAGGAAUCCCUCAAAUCACUUGCUCAUUGGCUUAGUUUGAAGCCAGGAAACUGAUAAAAGGGCUCAGGGUUUGUUAAUGUUUAAUUCAUAAAUUAAACAUUCUGUUCUUAUUACAGUUAAAUGAUUCAAGAUUAAACAACUAGUUUUAAAGGUAUUUGCUCAUUGACCUGGCUUAGAGACAGGAAGACAUUUGAGCAACGAAAAAGAUUUUUUUACAUUUAUCAUAUUUAGUAAAAAUUUAUUAAAACUGAAUAAAAUGCUGUUCUUAAGUGCUUUAAAGACCCAAACCAAAAUGCACUUUAUCUCAUCUUAUGGUGGAAACAUAAGAGCAAAUUCUAUAAGAGAUUGUGUUUCUUUCUUUAGUUGAGAAAAAACUUCAUUGAAUAGCUGUGGUAUGUUCAAUGCUAAGGAAAAAUUAAACAGACUAUCUUUGGCAUGCUCUGUAGAGUCGGAAUAAGAGGGCUUUUUAUUUUUUCAUUCAUAUGAAUAUUGAUAAAGAUGAUAUUAAAUGCUAAAUGAAAUAUAUCUGCUCCAAAAGGUAUUUAUUCUGACUCAGAGAUGCAAGAAAAGCACAAGUGAUACUCUACAUCAAACAGAAGUCACUGUUACGUCAACCACUGUGUUAAAUCCUAGACAGAAAACAAAAAAGAUCAUUACUAAAAGACAAUUGCUUAUUAAUUGGCUUGGAGACUAGAAUAUAGGAGAAAGGUUAGUUUAUUAUUAGUUUUAAUUUAUUCAUUCAUUCUACAAAUAUAUUUGUGUGCCAGUAGUACUUGGUAUAAGGUUUUUGGUAGGUUCUUAUUUGGCCCCAGAGACAUGGGGAAAAAAAAAUGCAUGUUCCCAGAGAACGCCUGGUGCUUUCCUUUUGGCCUGCUUUCUUGUUAGGGGCAUGGCUUAGUCCCUAAAUAACAUUAUGUUGUUUAAUUCCUACUCCAUAUCUCUUCUACCACUCUGGCCACUACAAUAAGCAGGUAGCUGGGUUUUGUAGUGAGCUUGCUCCUUAAGAUGCAGGAACUCUCCUUAUAAGACAGUUGAUUUUCCUAGCCCAUCCCUCAUGAAAAAUGACUGACCACUGCUGGGCAGAAGGAGGGAUGAUGACCAACUAAUUCCCAAACCCCAGUCCCGUUGGUACCAGUCUUGGGGAACCACCUAUACUUGAGGCACAGUUGGUUUUUGAAGUGCAUUUACAAGAUUUGUCUGUCUUCAGUUUUUUACUUUUUACGUGCUGACACAUACAUACACUGCCUAAAUACAUCUCUUUCAGAAACAGUCUUCAGAUAACACAUAGCAGAAUGGAGAUGGAGACAUGAUUUCUCUUGCAACAGCUUCUCAACUUAUAUCUUAGAAAUGUUCUCCUUUUUAAUCAUUAAAUUUGCUCAAGAAGGGCAUUUUAUAGUAGAAUAAUAUCUGGAUGAAAACAGCUUAACAUUUUACCAUGCUUAAGUUUUAAGAAUAAAAUAAAAAUUGGAAAUAAUUGGCCAAAAUUGAAAGGAAACUUUUUCUUAAAAGUUCUCUAAAUGUAGGCCUGACUGGGCUUUGACCUUUUCCAUUUUUAAAUCACUCACAGAGGGUGGGACAGGAGGAAGAGUGAAGGAAAAGGUCAAACCUAUUUCUAAGGGCAGCCUUCCUUUGUUCUGAAUUGGCCUUAAGAACAUUAGCUGCUCAAGGUCUAAAUUGUUUCAUGCAGUUCCAAUAACUGAUAAUUGUUGAGAUGAGAACAACAUUCUUGGUCCUCACUAGUUUGCUUCACAUUUUUGAAAAGUAAUUAUUUUUGUCCAGUUGCUUAUCAAAUAAACCUUGUGUUAGAUAAGAAUGGAAUGUAUUAAGUGAAUCAGUGUGACCCCUCUACUGUAAAAUUAUCUUAAAGCUGAAGCCAAAAUUGCUUCAAAGGAAGACUUUAUUGUUCAUUGUAGUUCAUACAUACUUUCAAAGCAUCUAAACUGUAGUUUUCCAUGGCAAGCCAAUUACAUCCAUAAGUGGAGAAGGAAAUUGAUAAAUGUCAAAGUAUGAUUGGUGGAGGGAGCAAGGUUGAAGAGAAUCUGGGCUUGAAAUUUUCUAGUUUCCAUUCUAUACAUUUUUAGACAUCAGAUUUGAAAUAUUAAUGUUUCUCUUUUAGUGUGUGGUAUCAGCUGGACUCAGUAACAUCUCUUUCUUCAGGUGGGGAUGGGGAAUGCAUUAUUGGAAAAUGGAAAGAAGAAAGUAACUAAAAAGCCUUCCUUUCACAGUUUCUGGCAUCACUACCACUACUGAUUAAACAAGAAUAAGAACAUUUUAUCUUCAUGUGCUUUAUUCACAUAAAUGAAGUUGUGAUAAAUAAAUAUGCUUUUAUGCAGACACAAGGAAUUAAGUGGCUUCAUCACUGCCGUUCAACCUCAAAGAGAAUUUAUUCCAGAAUGCUAAGAUAAAUGGAAAUGGAAGACUCUUGAAUUUGUGAACUGAUAUGAAAUGCAGAAUCUCUUUUGAAUCUUUGCAGUUUUGAAGACUGAAAAACAUUGUUCAGCAUGUGUGACCACCAAAAAGCAAUCUUAAGCCAUCUAGAUGUCAAAACUGAAGCAAACUGGGGAGUUGGUUGCUAUUGUAAAAUAAAAUAUACUGUUUUGAAAACUU